CUUCAGAAGCCCUGCCUGUGCCAGAUGCCUCGAUAAAGGUCAGAGGGGCGUGACUCACCUGUGAGGAGGGUGUUGUCACCGCCAGCUCUGGGCAGGACAGUCCCACCUGUGGUGUCCCAAUUUCCAGGUAGGAUACACAGCCGGCCCUGAUUGGCCAUGCUGGCUCCCUCCUUGGCACGGAUUGGCUGAGCCUUCCACCUGCUCUGUCUCAUCUUCCUGGGGCACCGGCACUGCCCGGCUGCAGCUCCUCCACACUGACCACAGAGGGACCGGAGGAUGCCCACGCAUCAGCACUUGGUCGAUAAGAUGAAGAGACACUCCUGCUUUGUUCUUUUGUUCUGUGGGAUAUUUUUGCCUGGAAUCCUUGGUUUUCCACAGACAAAUACCUCAAUUGAUUGUGAUUCUCUGUUACCAAACUAUGAAGCUGAACCACAGACAUCUGCACCACCAUAUAUUAUUGCUGUAUCUUUUGAUAACUUUGAGCCAGGAAAUGAAGUCCAAGUAACUCUAGAAGCACUUGGAGAUGCUGGAUUUAAAGGAUUUAAUCUACAAGCUCGAGAAAUAGAUGGAGAUGUUCCUGUUGGUACUUUUAAAAUUACAGAUCCAAACACUAAAGGCUUGCAAUGUCAUAACAUGACGAAUUCAGCAGUAAGUAAUGCCAAUUCAGAUGUGAAACAGAAGGUUACAACAACAUGGAUUGCUCCGCAUGAUGUUAGAGAGCUUCAAUUUAUGUAAAUAGUUGUUUUUCUUUUUUUUUUUUGCCUUGAAAUUUUCUUUCUUUAUUGUGAUAGACCUGUGUUGCUGUUUGAGAUAUUCUUGUCCAACAGUUUUUUUC
This 835-nucleotide long non-coding RNA is filed under the name Serinus canaria (Common canary). RNAcentral describes it as "lncRNA (ENSSCAG00000012409.1)". The record is from RNAcentral. Lineage: Eukaryota; Metazoa; Chordata; Aves; Passeriformes; Fringillidae.